GCGCUCAGCUCACGCCACAUCUUCCAGCAGACCCACAGCAGCAGGAGGCCGCCCGCGAGCAACAGUCCGACAAUGGCCAAAAGCUGGGUUGUAAGAGCCGCGAAGAUAAUUCGCAGAAGUGUCGCGGCGCCAACGCCGAUCAAGAUUGCCUUGUUGCGUUGCCCUUUUGGCAGACCCGCAGCGGCAAGACCGAUGACAAUCGCAUUGUCACCGGCAAGAACAAGGUCGAUGAGGAUGACCU
Molecule: unclassified non-coding RNA, 241 nt
Filed under: Hevea brasiliensis (rubber tree)
Lineage: Eukaryota; Viridiplantae; Streptophyta; Magnoliopsida; Malpighiales; Euphorbiaceae
Source: RNAcentral